Molecule: non-coding RNA, 72 nt
Organism: Phrynosoma platyrhinos (Desert horned lizard)
Lineage: Eukaryota; Metazoa; Chordata; Lepidosauria; Squamata; Phrynosomatidae
Source: the annotation of a GenBank genome assembly
GGCCAGUGUGAUGUAGUGGUUUGAGUGUCGGACUACGACCCUGGAGACCAGGGUUCAAUCCCUGUUCGGCCA